GCUUUCUUGUGGCUCAGUCAGUAGGGCAUUGCGCUAAAAACACAAAAGUAGUGGUUUCAAACCCUAAGAGAAAGCA
This is a non-coding RNA of Danionella cerebrum, 76 nucleotides long. Lineage: Eukaryota; Metazoa; Chordata; Actinopteri; Cypriniformes; Danionidae. The record is from the annotation of a GenBank genome assembly.